This 257-nucleotide ribosomal RNA is filed under the name uncultured prokaryote. RNAcentral describes it as "partial 16S ribosomal RNA". It matches the Rfam family "Bacterial small subunit ribosomal RNA", at positions 521 to 777 of the family's 1533-position model. The record is from RNAcentral.
UAAUACAGAGGGGGCAAGCGUUGUUCGGAAUUACUGGGCGUAAAGGGCGCGUAGGCGGCCUGCUAAGUCGAACGUGAAAUCCCUGGGCUCAACCCAGGAACUGCGUCCGAUACUGGUUGGCUUGAAUCCGGGAGAGGGAUGUGGAAUUCCAGGUGUAGCGGUGAAAUGCGUAGAUAUCUGGAGGAACACCGGUGGCGAAGGCGACAUCCUGGACCGGUAUUGACGCUGAGGCGCGAAAGCCAGGGGAGCAAACGGGA